This 500-nucleotide ribosomal RNA is filed under the name uncultured bacterium. RNAcentral describes it as "partial 16S ribosomal RNA". It matches the Rfam family "Bacterial small subunit ribosomal RNA", at positions 29 to 523 of the family's 1533-position model. The record is from RNAcentral.
AUUGAACGCUGGCGGCAUGCCUUACACAUGCAAGUCGAACGGCAGCACGGACUUCGGUCUGUUGGCGUGUGGCGAACGGGUGAGUAAUACAUCGGAACGUGCCCAGUAAUGGGGGAUAGCUCGGCGAAAGCCGGAUUAAUACCGCAUACGCCAUGAGGGGGGAAGUGGGGGACCGAAAGGCCUCACGUUAUUGGAGCGGCCGAUGUCUGAGUAGCUAGUUGGUGAGGUAAAGGCUCACCAAGGCGACGAUCAGUAGCUGGUCUGAGAGGACGAUCAGCCACACUGGGACUGAGACACGGCACAGACCCCUACGGGAGGCAGCAGUGGGGAAUUUUGGACAAUGAGCGCAAGCCUGAUCCAGCAAUGCCGCGUGUGCGAAGAAGGCCUUCGGGUUGUAAAGCACUUUUGUCAGGAAAGAAGACGAUUAGGCUAAUACCCUAGUGGGACGACGGUACCCGCAGAAUAAGCACCGGCUAACUACGUGCCAGCCGCCGCAGUAA